This 555-nucleotide ribosomal RNA is filed under the name uncultured Glomus. RNAcentral's name for it is "SSU rRNA". It matches the Rfam family "Eukaryotic small subunit ribosomal RNA", at positions 548 to 1098 of the family's 1831-position model. The record is from RNAcentral. Lineage: Eukaryota; Fungi; Glomeromycota; Glomeromycetes; Glomerales; Glomeraceae.
UUGGAGGGCAAGUCUGGUGCCAGCAGCCGCGGUAAUUCCGGCUCCAAUAGCGUAUAUUAAAGUUGUUGCAGUUAAAAAGCUCGUAGUUGAAUUUCGGGAUUGGCGUGUCGGUCGUGCCUUACGGGGUAUGAACUGGCGUCGUCGAUUUCUCACCCUCUGGAGAAUCACGAUGCCCUUAAUUGGGUGUCGUGUGGAACCAGGACCUUUACCUUGAAAAAAUUAGAGUGUUUAAAGCAGGCAUUUUGCUCGAAUACAUUAGCAUGGAAUAAUAAAAUAGGACGGCUUGGUUCUAUUUUGUUGGUUUCUAGGAUCACCGUAAUGAUUAAUAGGGAUAGUUGGGGGCAUUAGUAUUCAAUUGUCAGAGGUGAAAUUCUUGGAUUUAUUGAAGACUAACUACUGCGAAAGCAUUUGCCAAGGAUGUUUUCAUUAAUCAAGAACGAAAGUUAGGGGAUCGAAGACGAUCAGAUACCGUCGUAGUCUUAACCAUAAACUAUGCCGACUAGGAAUCAGACGAUGUUAAUUUUUUAAUGACUCGUUUGGCACCUUACGGGAAAC